RNAcentral lists this long non-coding RNA (206 nucleotides) under Elaeis guineensis (African oil palm). Its description in RNAcentral is "long non-coding RNA (EGUI_LNC008879)". The record is from RNAcentral. Lineage: Eukaryota; Viridiplantae; Streptophyta; Magnoliopsida; Arecales; Arecaceae.
ACUUAGCUGAUGUUUGAGCUGAAUUGAGUCGAUCUUGAAUUUUGUCUAUUUUUCAUCGAGCCGAUCUCGAGCUUGGGAUAUUAAAGUUCAUUCUAUCUCGAGUCAAAUUUUGAGCUAAAUAUUUUAAAAGCAUCAAAUCAAACUCGAGCUUCCAACUAUUCAACUCAGCUCGGCUCAAUUGCAUCUCUAAUCAUAGGACACUGAAG